AGCAACGAGGAGGAUCAUGAAAUAGCCGAUGACUUUGAGGCCGGAGCAGAGCCUGAAGAGGUUUAUCUUCAUUCCGGGAUUGGUUGGGAUUCGGAACGGCCGAGAUAUGCCGAUUGGGAACUGGGGGAGGGUGAUUGGCCGCCUGGUUCGCGGUGGGAAGAGGCGUUUCCAGAUGUCAGGAGCCAGAAUUAAGGUGUUCCGGGAUUUGGAGUUGGAAGUGGGGAGGGACUUUGCUGAGUGAAAAGUCGACUUCUCCUCUGACUUUUACUCCAACAGUAGUAACUGAGUUUGGUACUUCGGGCGUGUCGGAGGAUCUGUCACAAACUCAUUCCACCGUGUCAGUUCUC
This 347-nucleotide long non-coding RNA is filed under the name Malus domestica (apple). Its description in RNAcentral is "long non-coding RNA (MDOM_LNC020937)". Lineage: Eukaryota; Viridiplantae; Streptophyta; Magnoliopsida; Rosales; Rosaceae. The record is from RNAcentral.